CAAGGGGCCCUGCAUUUUCAUUUUCCCUGGGCUCUGCAAAUUGUGUAGCCAGCCCUGCCUACAGGAGACAGGCAUCCUUCCCUCAAGACCUGAAGUUUAGGGCUGAAGCAUCUGACACUGAUAUAUGACCUUCCUUCAGAAUCCCUGGAACCUGCAUGUGAUUCUCCCACUGGAAAAUGCUAUAAUAGUCACAGUGAAGUUUCUCCUACCCUGUUACCUCCAACAUCAUAUCAUCUGACAGAACAUAUAGCCCCAGGGGCAAGGCUGAUUGAACCACAGCCCAGAUCUCUUGAGAAGCUCUGUCCCAUUUAAAAUCGACACCCUCACAGCAAGAUCCUUCUUGACCCACCUCCUAGAGAAAUGGAAAUAAAAACAAAAAUAAACAAAUGGGACCUAAUGAAACUUAAAAGCUUUUGCACAGCAAAGGAAACCAUAAA
Molecule: non-coding RNA, 437 nt
Organism: Kogia breviceps (pygmy sperm whale)
Lineage: Eukaryota; Metazoa; Chordata; Mammalia; Artiodactyla; Physeteridae
Source: RefSeq, a predicted model, not a curated record